Molecule: ribosomal RNA, 363 nt
Filed under: uncultured bacterium
Lineage: Bacteria
Description: bacterial SSU rRNA
Rfam family: Bacterial small subunit ribosomal RNA
Source: RNAcentral
GACGAACGCUGGCGGCGUGCUUAACACAUGCAAGUCGAACGGUAAGGCCCUUCGGGGUACACGAGUGGCGAACGGGUGAGUAACACGUGGUGAUCUGCCCUGCACUUUGGGAUAAGCCUGGGAAACUGGGUCUAAUACCGAAUAUGACCAUGGACUUCACGGUUUGUGGUGGAAAGCUUUUGCGGUGUGGGAUGGGCCCGCGGCCUAUCAGCUUGUUGGUGGGGUAAUGGCCUACCAAGGCGACGACGGGUAGCCGGCCUGAGAGGGUGACCGGCCACACUGGGACUGAGAUACGGCCCAGACUCCUACGGGAGGCAGCAGUGGGGAAUAUUGCACAAUGGGCGGCAAGCCUGAUGCAGCGAC